Molecule: ribosomal RNA, 198 nt
Filed under: uncultured bacterium
Lineage: Bacteria
Description: partial 16S ribosomal RNA
Rfam family: Bacterial small subunit ribosomal RNA
Source: RNAcentral
ACUCCUACGGGAGGCAGCAGUAGGGAAUCUUCCACAAUGGACGCAAGUCUGAUGGAGCAACGCCGCGUGAGUGAAGAAGGUUUUCGGAUCGUAAAACUCUGUUGGUAGAGAAGAACGUUGGUGAGAGUGGAAAGCUCAUCAAGUGACGGUAACUACCCAGAAAGGGACGGCUAACUACGUGCCAGCAGCCGCGGUAAU